This 253-nucleotide ribosomal RNA is filed under the name uncultured bacterium. RNAcentral describes it as "partial 16S ribosomal RNA". It matches the Rfam family "Bacterial small subunit ribosomal RNA", at positions 524 to 776 of the family's 1533-position model. The record is from RNAcentral.
UACGUAGGGUGCAAGCGUUGUCCGGAAUUAUUGGGCGUAAAGAGCUCGUAGGCGGCUUGUCACGUCGACUGUGAAAACCCGGGGCUCAACUCCGGGCCUGCAGUCGAUACGGGCUGGCUUGAGUGCGGUAGGGGAGACUGGAAUUCCUGGUGUAGCGGUGAAAUGCGCAGAUAUCAGGAGGAACACCGGUGGCGAAGGCGGAUCUCUGGGCCGUAACUGACGCUGAGGAGCGAAAGCGUGGGGAGCGAACAGG